RNAcentral lists this ribosomal RNA (496 nucleotides) under uncultured bacterium. RNAcentral describes it as "partial 16S ribosomal RNA". It matches the Rfam family "Bacterial small subunit ribosomal RNA", at positions 28 to 506 of the family's 1533-position model. The record is from RNAcentral.
GAUGAACGCUGGCGGCGUGCCUAAUACAUGCAAGUCGAGCGAACGGACGAGAAGCUUGCUUUUCUGAUGUUAGCGGCGGACGGGUGAGUAAUACGUGGAUAACCUACCUAUAAGACUGGGAUAACUUCGGGAAACCGGAGCUAAUACCGGAUAAUAUUUUGAACCGCAUGGUUCAAAAGUGAAAGACGGUCUUGCUGCCACUUAUAGAUGGAUCCGCGCUGCAUUAGCUAGUUGGUAAGGUAACGGCUUACCAAGGCAACGAUGCAUAGCCGACCUGAGAGGGUGAUCGGCCACACUGGAACUGAGACACGGUCCAGACUCCUACGGGAGGCAGCAGUAGGGAAUCUUCCGCAAUGGGCGAAAGCCUGACGGAGCAACGCCGCGUGAGUGAUGAAGGUCUUCGGAUCGUAAAACUCUGUUAUUAGGGAAGAACAUAUGUGUAAGUAACUGUGCACAUCUUGACGGUACCUAAUCAGAAAGCCACGGCUAACUACGU